CCUGAUGACCAUAGCAAGUCGGUCCCACCCCUUCCCAUCCCGAACAGGACCGUGAAACGACUUUGCGCCGAUGAUAGUGCUGCAACCAGUGUGNGAGACCAGGACGUUGAUAGGU
Molecule: ribosomal RNA, 115 nt
Filed under: Massilia arenae
Lineage: Bacteria; Pseudomonadati; Pseudomonadota; Betaproteobacteria; Burkholderiales; Oxalobacteraceae
Source: RNAcentral